GAUGAACGCUGGCGGCGUGCCUAAUACAUGCAAGUCGAGCGAACGGACGAGAAGCUUGCUUCUCUGAUGUUAGCGGCGGACGGGUGAGUAACACGUGGAUAACCUACCUAUAAGACUGGGAUAACUUCGGGAAACCGGAGCUAAUACCGGAUAAUAUUUUGAACCGCAUGGUUCAAAAGUGAAAGACGGUCUUGCUGUCACUUAUAGAUGGAUCCGCGCUGCAUUAGCUAGUUGGUAAGGUAACGGCUUACCAAGGCAACGAUGCAUAGCCGACGUGAGAGGGUGGUCGGCCACACUGGAACUGAGACACGGUCCAGACUCCUACGGGAGGCAGCAGUAGGGAAUCUUCCGCAAUGGGCGAAAGCCUGACGGAGCAGCGCCGCGUGAGUGAUGAAGGUCUUCGGAUCGUAAAACUCUGUUAUUAGGGAAGAACAUAUGUGUAAGUAACUGUGCACAUCUUGACGGUACCUAAUCAGAAAGCCACGGCUAACUACGUG
Molecule: ribosomal RNA, 497 nt
Filed under: uncultured bacterium
Lineage: Bacteria
Description: partial 16S ribosomal RNA
Rfam family: Bacterial small subunit ribosomal RNA
Source: RNAcentral